RNAcentral lists this ribosomal RNA (429 nucleotides) under Pseudomonadota bacterium. RNAcentral describes it as "Proteobacteria bacterium partial 16S ribosomal RNA". It matches the Rfam family "Bacterial small subunit ribosomal RNA", at positions 355 to 776 of the family's 1533-position model. The record is from RNAcentral. Lineage: Bacteria; Pseudomonadati; Pseudomonadota.
UGGGGAAUAUUGGACAAUGGGCGAAAGCCUGAUCCAGCCAUGCCGCGUGUGUGAAGAAGGUCUUCGGAUUGUAAAGCACUUUAAGUUGGGAGGAAGGGCAGUAAGCGAAUACCUUGCUGUUUUGACGUUACCGACAGAAUAAGCACCGGCUAACUCUGUGCCAGCAGCCGCGGUAAUACAGAGGGUGCAAGCGUUAAUCGGAAUUACUGGGCGUAAAGCGCGCGUAGGUGGUUCGUUAAGUUGAAUGUGAAAGCCCCGGGCUCAACCUGGGAACUGCAUCCAACACUGGCGAGCGAGAGUAGGGCAGAGGGUGGUGGAAUUUCCUGUGUAGCGGUGAAAUGCGUAGAUAUAGGAAGGAACACCAGUGGCGAAGGCGACCACCUGGGCUCAUACUGACAAUGAGGUGCGAAAGCGUGGGGAGCAAACAGG